RNAcentral lists this ribosomal RNA (479 nucleotides) under uncultured anaerobic ammonium-oxidizing bacterium. Its description in RNAcentral is "bacterial SSU rRNA". It matches the Rfam family "Bacterial small subunit ribosomal RNA", at positions 364 to 833 of the family's 1533-position model. The record is from RNAcentral.
UUUCGCAAUGCCCGAAAGGGUGACGAAGCGACGCCGCGUGGGUGAGGAAGGCCCUCGGGUUGUAAAGCCCUGUCAGGAGUUAAGAAAUGUAAGUGCGCUAAUAUCGCAUUUAUUUGACGAAGGCUCCAAAGGAAGCCACGGCUAACUCUGUGCCAGCAGCCGCGGUAAUACAGAGGUGGCAAGCGUUGUUCGGAAUUAUUGGGCGUAAAGAGCACGUAGGUGGGUUUGUAAGUCAGAUGUGAAAGCCUUCUGUUCAACGGAAGAAUUGCAUCUGAAACUGCAGGUCUUGAGUGUAGGAGGGGAGAAUGGAACUUCUGGUGGAGCGGUGAAAUGCGUAGAUAUCAGAAGGAACGCCGGCGGCGAAAGCGAUUCUCUGGCCUAUUACUGACACUCAGUGUGCGAAAGCUAGGGGAGCAAACGGGAUUAGAUACCCCGGUAGUCCUAGCCGUAAACGAUGGGCACUAAGUAGAGGGGUUUUA